GACGAACGCUGGCGGCGUGCUUAACACAUGCAAGUCGAGCGGUAAGGCCCUUUCGGGGGUACACGAGCGGCGAACGGGUGAGUAACACGUGGGUGACCUGCCCUCAGCUCUGGGAUAAGCCUGGGAAACCGGGUCUAAUACUGGAUAUGACUCCAUGACGCAUGUUGUGGGGUGGAAAGCCUUGUGCGGCUGAGGAUGGGCCCGCGGCCUAUCAGCUUGUUGGGUGGGGGG
This 231-nucleotide ribosomal RNA is filed under the name uncultured bacterium. RNAcentral's name for it is "partial 16S ribosomal RNA". It matches the Rfam family "Bacterial small subunit ribosomal RNA", at positions 28 to 260 of the family's 1533-position model. The record is from RNAcentral.